GAACGAGAAAGGGGAGCAAUCCCUGAGUACAGUGGCGUACGGGUGAGUAACACGUGGAUGAUCUACCCCUUAGUUUGGAAUAACCAUGGGAAACCGUGGCUAAUACCGGAUAAGCUCGAGAGAGGAAAGCAGCAAUGCGCUGAGGGAGGAGUCCGCGGCCGAUUAGCUAGUUGGUGGGGUAAGAGCCCACCAAGGCAAAGAUCGGUAGCCGGCCUGAGAGGGCACACGGCCACACUGGCACUGAAACACGGGCCAGACUCCUACGGGAGGCAGCAGUGGGGAAUCUUGCACAAUGGGGGCAACCCUGAUGCAGCGACGCCGCGUGAGCGAUGAAGCCCUUCGGGGUGUAAAGCUCUUUCGGCAGGGAAGAUAGUGACGGUACCUGCAGAAGCAGCUGCGGCUAACUACGUGCCAGCAGCCGCGGUAAUACGUAGGCAGCAAGCGUUGUUCGGAGUUACUGGGCGUAAAGGGUGUGUAGGCGGUGAUUUAAGUUUGGUGUGAAAUCUCCCGGCUCAACUGGGAGGGUGCGCCGAAUACUGAAUGACUCGAGUGCGGGAGAGGAAAGUGGAAUUCCUGGUGUAGCGGUGAAAUGCGUAGAUAUCAGGAGGAACACCGGUGGUGUAGACGGCUUUCUGGACCGUAACUGACGCUGAGACACGAAAGCGUGGGUAGCAAACAGGAUUAGAUACCCUGGUAGUCCACGCCCUAAACGAUGCAUAUUUGGUGUGGGCAGUUCAUUCUGUCCGUGCCGGAGCUAACGCGUUAAAUA
RNAcentral lists this ribosomal RNA (769 nucleotides) under uncultured bacterium. RNAcentral describes it as "bacterial SSU rRNA". It matches the Rfam family "Bacterial small subunit ribosomal RNA", at positions 64 to 866 of the family's 1533-position model. The record is from RNAcentral.